AAAGCUAGACAACCAUUGA
This 19-nucleotide microRNA is filed under the name Drosophila ananassae. RNAcentral describes it as "miR-4-RA". RNAcentral also lists the same sequence under 4 other names. The record is from RNAcentral. Lineage: Eukaryota; Metazoa; Arthropoda; Insecta; Diptera; Drosophilidae.